UACGGGGGGGGCUAGCGUUGUUCGGAAUUACUGGGCGUAAAGCGCACGUAGGCGGUUUCUCAAGUCAGAGGUGAAAGCCCGGAGCUCAACUCCGGAAUUGCCUUUGAAACUAGGUGACUUGAAUCAUGGAGAGGUCAGUGGAAUUCCGAGUGUAGAGGUGAAAUUCGUAGAUAUUCGGAAGAACACCAGUGGCGAAGGCGGCUGACUGGACAUGUAUUGACGCUGAGGUGCGAAAGCGUGGGGAGCAAACAGG
This 253-nucleotide ribosomal RNA is filed under the name uncultured bacterium. RNAcentral describes it as "partial 16S ribosomal RNA". It matches the Rfam family "Bacterial small subunit ribosomal RNA", at positions 524 to 776 of the family's 1533-position model. The record is from RNAcentral.